GUUAUAAUGUGCUGCAAGUUUAAGUGGAUAGAUGAAUGUAUUUGCAUACAUACACAAACACGGACGUGUUUUUAGCGGAAUGAGUUUCAUGCUGGAUUUAUUUCCUGUCUCUACUAUCUUCUCAAGAGGUAAUUUUGGCCAAAUCACUUACACAAUCUGAAACUCAGUUUUCAUCAUGCGUAAAGUGAGUGUGUAUUUUCAAGGGAGAGAGGGCCCUAGGUAAAAAUAGAGACCCUCUGAGGCAGCUUCAGGGCCCCUCCACAGGCUAUGUGUAAAGGAGAGAAAGUCAGUCCCUCUGCCCGGCAAGGCUCCCUGCAGUUUCCAGGGCGCAGCGCACGGAUGGCGGGGCUGGAGCGAGCAGGGGCAGCCACCAGGGAGGAAACGCAACGGCUCAUACAGCAAUAAGAGAAGCAGCAGGCCGAGGGGACCAGCCGGAAAAGCCCCGCGCCUGGUGCAGCUGUGGCCCUGGAAGGGGAAGCCUGCCGAUGGCAGCACGGCGCGGGGACAGUCUCGCGCCUGACAGAGCGGCUCAGGGAGCAGCGGCAGCCGCCAGCAAGCAUUGCAGGCGCGUGUAGGUCUAGAUGCGCCACAGACGCGACAAGGACCUGGGAAGGGAGCGCGGAGGAACAGCCGGUCCACCUGAUCACGUGACUGCAACUAUUCACACUCCACUCCGAGCAGCUCUGUCCUGGGAGAAGCGGGGUAUUCACAGCUUUGUCUUAGACGACAAAGCAGGACUGCAGGGUCGUGAGUGCCUUACUUGGAGCGCAGGUUCGCUUCCCGGCUGAGGAACCACACCACCUGUCUGUCCAUGCCAUGCUGUGGUGGCAGCUCACACAGAAGAACUAGAAGGACUGACAACUAGGACAUACAACCAUGCCCUGGGGCUCUGGGGAGAAGAAAAGAAAACGCUUCUUAAAAGAAGAGAGGAAUCCAGACAGCUGAAGCAGGGCUUGUGUGAGACAGAUGGGGAGAUUUAGAGGGAAGAGCUGGUCUGCUUGGUUCGACUCCCUCUCUGCAAGCAAAGAUUCUCUCCCCAGGACUGAAAGCAGAGACAAUGUGGCCACGGAGGAGAAUGCCCUUCUUCUUGGAGACGCGUGCCAAGGUGUUUAGGGAUGGAGUGUCAUGAAGUCUGCAAUCUAUUGAUAAACGGUUCAAAAAACAGCAACAGCCAAACCCCCAUAAAUAGAAAGAUACAGCAAAUGUCAUAAAAUGUUAAAGGGUGUAAGGAAACUCAUUGUACACCUCUUUUAACUUUCCUUUAGAUUUGAAAAUUUUUAAAAUAAAGUUGGGAGGAAAACAGGCACAA
Non-coding RNA from Equus caballus (horse), 1309 nucleotides. The record is from RefSeq and is a predicted model, not a curated record. Lineage: Eukaryota; Metazoa; Chordata; Mammalia; Perissodactyla; Equidae.